UAGGAAGGAAAAAGUUGAUUCAUUCUGUUGCUAAUGCUAAGAGGAGUAGGAUCUUUAAUGGAUCUUUAUCCUUCUUUUUUGUACCCUCCCCCUUAGUUAUUAGUACUGGGACACAUAUAUCAAAAGUUCAAUGUGUCAUUUGAAUGAAAUAGAUUUUUUCAACUUCACAUUAGUAAUUGAGGUUACACAAACAAAACCAGGUCCAGAAGGAGAGAUUUUUUUA
Molecule: long non-coding RNA, 223 nt
Filed under: Panax ginseng (ginseng)
Lineage: Eukaryota; Viridiplantae; Streptophyta; Magnoliopsida; Apiales; Araliaceae
Description: long non-coding RNA (PGIN_LNC009558)
Source: RNAcentral